GGAACUGCCUUCAAAACUACAUUUCUUGAGUUUGGUAGAGGAGAGUGGAAUUCCUAGUGUAGAGGUGAAAUUCGUAGAUAUUAGGAGGAACACCAGUGGCGAAGGCGACUCUCUGGGCCAAUACUGACGCUGAGGUUCGAAAGCAUGGGUAGCGAACAGGAUUAGAUACCCUGGUAGUCCAUGCAGUAAACGAUGAGUGCUAGAUGUUGGGAAUUUAGAUUUCCAGUAUCGCAGUUAACGCGUUAAGCACUCCGCCUGGGAAGUACGGCCGCAAGGCUAAAACUCAAAUGAAUUGACGGGGACCCGCACAAGCGGUGGAUCAUGUGGUUUAAUUCGAAGAUACGCGAAGAACCUUACCGGCCCUUGACAUACCAAUCGCAGACUUAAGAGAUUAAGUCUUUCACUUCGGGUGGAUUGGAUACAGGUGCUGCAUGGCUGUCGUCAGCUCGUGUCGUGAGAUGUUGGGUUAAGUCCCGCAACGAGCGCAACCCUUACCUUCAAUUGCCAGCACAUUAUGGUGGGAACUUUGAAGGAACUGCCGGUGAUAAGCCGGAGGAAGGUGGGGAUGACGUCAAGUCCUCAUGGCCCUUACGGGCCGGGCUACACACGUGAUACAAUGGUGACUACAAAGGGCAGCGAAGGAGCAAUCUGGAGCAAAUCUCAAAAAGUUACCUCAGUUCGGAUUGUACUCUGCAACUCGAGUGCAUGAAGUUGGAAUCGCUAGUAAUCGUAGAUCAGCGCGCUACGGUGAAUACGUUCCCGGGUCUUGUACACACCGCCCGUCACACCAUGGGAGUUGGUUUUACCUGAAGCUGGUUCGCUAACCGUAAGGAGGCAGCCAACCACGGUAAGAUUAGCGACUGGGGUGAAGUCGUAACAAGGUAACCGUA
This 890-nucleotide ribosomal RNA is filed under the name uncultured bacterium. RNAcentral's name for it is "bacterial SSU rRNA". It matches the Rfam family "Bacterial small subunit ribosomal RNA", at positions 617 to 1504 of the family's 1533-position model. The record is from RNAcentral.